Molecule: long non-coding RNA, 9819 nt
Organism: Felis catus (domestic cat)
Lineage: Eukaryota; Metazoa; Chordata; Mammalia; Carnivora; Felidae
Exons: 4
Source: RefSeq, a predicted model, not a curated record
GGCGGCGCAGCGCGGCUGGCAGACGCUCACGCAGCUCUCGUAAUGGCUGUUGGGGGGGCAGGUGACGGCUGGAACGGAAGACGCGCGUCAGGCCUCGCACGCCCACGGGGACGGCGCUCAGAGUUGCCUUCCGGUUAGGCCCUCGGGGAGGCGGAGGCCUGGCCCGGAGGGAGCCCUGCCACCCUUUCCUCGCCGUGAACCCCCUCUGCUUCUGGAAAGCCUCCCUCUGACUCCUCGCGUCUUCCUUCCGUCAUGGACCGCAGGGCAGAUGAGGAUGCUUGCACCGUCUUAUUAAAGUAUCUUCCCAUGGGUUGCUCAUUAGUUGCAAGAGAAAAAAACACUGUGCCUGCAGAGUGGAGACAUUUGACACCUGACCAGGGGACCAAUGUGCCCAUCACCACUGAGAGGGGGCUGGAUGGACACGGCCCCCACAUGUGAUGUGAUACCGUGAGAAAAACACACAUCACCUCUGCUGGAGUGUGAGAGGGGACACACAGCAGAACCAAAUCAUGAGGAAACAUCAGACCCAAACGGAGAGCCAUUCUAUUUUCAAAGGUGGGAGGUUGUCGUCUUUAAAAAUGACAAUAGAAGAGAAAAAAGAAAGUCAAGGAACUGUUCCAGAUUGAGGGCAACCAAAGAGACGUGACAGCUCUAAACACAACAUGUAUCCUAGCCUAGAUCCAUAUUGGGGGGAGGGGGAUGCCAUAAAGGACAUUAUGAGUCAAUUGACAAAAUUGAAAUAUAGAUAUUAAAUGAUUAUAUCAGUGUUAAAUGUCCUAAGGUCAGUGAGUAUACUGUGGUUCUGUAAAUGACAGUCAUUAUUCUAAGGAAAUACACACUGAAGUAUUUAGGGGGGCCAAGGGGUAUGAUGUAUGUAACUUACUUGCAAAUGCAGAGAGAGCAUGUGAGAGAGAAUGAUAAGGCAAUGGGGCAAAAUGCUAACUGUAGGUUAAUCUGGGUAAUGGGCACACAGAUAUUCUUGUAACUUUUCUGCAACUGUGAAAUUAUUUCAAAACAAAAAGUUUGAGAAAUAAACAAACUUAGAGAUAUAGUGGAAAUGAGAGAAACAGAUGUAGACGAUGGAAUCUUAAUGGUGGCAUCGGUUUGGGUUUAGGGCUGAUCUUUUUGGUGGGAAAGGCAUGGGUGCUGAAGUCCAGGUGGGGUUAGUUGUUGCUCCAGGUAUGGGUCCUGCCCUCUCAGCCACUCCUUCUCCUGCCUUUCUACAUCACUGUUCCCACCAGCCUCCCCCAUCGCCUAAGGGGCUAUAUGUCAGGUCUUCUCAGCAAUUAUUCUAAUUACUGCUAAUACUGGCACUGCCCUGCUGAGAGGGGUCAGAUACUCUGGGCACAAAGUGAAAAAACCAACGUGGGACUCUUCAUAGCCAUUGUCAGGCUUGCCCCAGGGAGCGGCGCUAAUCUCUACUCCGCGAAAGGCACCCUGACCGAUCACUUUCUGUUGAAAGAACGGAGCCCUCCUUUGCCAAGAAAGAAGACACCAAUGGAGCCAUCACAAAGACUCCCAGUCUUUGAUAUGACGUGUAUCCUCCACUAGAUAAAAGCAGGAGUCAAUGAGAUGGCUAAUCCUUCUACAGUGAAGAGAUACUGUGUGAUUAGAAACAGAAAUAAAGGUGAGGAACAGUUUGGUUGGGGGUGAUGGGCCUUCCAAAGGACACAUCAGAUGAGGAGGCUACACACCAGAGUCAGACUGCCCCGGAGCUCAAUUCCCCCACCUCCCCGGGGGCCUCCCGCAUCAGGUAGCCCCGACUUACGGCAGAAGUCAUAGGUCCGCCAGGGGCCCACCUCCACGUCGGCGUUCUUGCACGCACUUGCGUACCGGGCCACGGAGUCACAGAGCUCCGACUCAUUGCCUCCACUCUGGCACAGACGGAAGAGGCAGGUGCGGUAGUAGGCGGUGACGUUGACCACUCCAUGGCACUCGAGGAAGGAGCUGUUGGAGGGGUCAUUGAUGAUGCCACACCUGGAGCGGCUCCGAUAAAAUUUGAGCAGCUCCGAAUCAUUGUUGCAGGCCUUCAGCAGGUCCCCACACUCCCCGUUGCAGAUCUCCUCAAAGGUCGUCCAGCUUUCCAGGAACACCGCCAGGUUGUCCGUGCACUUGCCGUUGGGGAGACAGAACUCAUCGCUGGCGUUUGCAUUGAAGAAGCCACACAACCCGCCGGUGCAAUUGAAGUAGGUGGUGGAGAGCCGGAUGUACAGCAGUCCGAUGUCUGUGUAUUGGACCGUCACAACACCCCUCGACUCUACUGUCGUGCUGUUUUUGUUGCGAUAAAUCUCCAGCUUCCCCGAAGGAUGGAAAAAUGGUAAUUCUACCUCCUGGCCAUUCAACUGAAAAAAAUCAAAUCACUCUCAUCACUUCCAGAUGCGCUCAGAGUACCCACCGUUUCCUAGGCUAUGAAAUAGAGACACGGUUCUGCCCGGCGACUCACCCUUUGAGAAAAUGUCAAGAAGCUGACAGUCUAUGGACACCACACACACAGACGCAAACUGUUUCCUCAUGGGCACUUCUGUUUCUUUGUUUCUACCCCUCCGAUUCAACACAUUUGCUGUUUCUCUGCGUAUACAUACGACCCUAGGCUAGCCCCAAACAACAGUGAAAUGUGAGUAGACGUGGUCUUGAUACACACGUGGCUUUCUCCUUCUGUGUGAUGGCUCCUUUUCACUGGUGGCGCCCCUUCUUCCCCACCGUUCUGGCCCCUUCCUUUCCUUCAGAUCUGUUCCUGUGCCCUAGCCCCUCGGAGGCAUAUGGUUAUCUAGCUGUCCAUCCACCUUAUCUACCUUUUACUAUUCUUUUAAUAAAUUAAUCUCUGCCAGUGUGUCAGUGGGAAUGAAAACAGCUUUUUCAGUCUGCGGAGGUGUGUUUCCUCUUCUUGCACAGCACAGCACAGCACCACGCUGACUUCUGUCUUCCAAAUUAGGCUUCAUGUUGGGCUAGGAGCAGGGAGGCUUGCCCUCCUGUCAUGCCAGCUCGGCCACCACUCAGCUGUGAGCUCCCCAUCCCUCGCUUAGCCCCUGGGGUCUUCAUGUGCAAACAAACAGUUGUACUAGAUGAUUCCUAACGGUCUUUCUUCAACUAAUGAUGUGGAUGCCUAACGACGAAUAUUUUAGACCGGGUCAGAGGGGCAGGAGGUGCGAUGGCAGGUACCCUUUGCCUGACCUCAAUGGGUUCCCAUCUACAGGGAGGAGAGUCAGUAUAGUACAAGGUAAGAAGCACAGACUUUGAAGCCAGCCUGCCUGGGCUCACAUAUCACUCUAUGGCUGUGUGUCCCUGAGGAAGUUACUCAGCCUCUCUGCGCCUCGUUUUUCUCGUAUGUUAAAGGUAAAUGAGGAUGAAAACAUAUCCCCCAUAGGUUAGGUGUGACAACUGCUUAGACUAGCGCUUGGCACACGGUAAGCGUCCGGUAAGCAUCGGCUGUUACGGAGACCUAGUCCUGCUUUAGCUGUAUCUAAUUUGAGAGACUCCAGCCUCACUCCAUUUCACCCCCGGGGAGACUGAUUCGGUGCCGAACGUUAGGCAGCGCUCCCACUUCGGAGCCGUUGCCUUCCUGGAAUCCACUCAUGGUCAGAGCCAGGAAGGCAUACCCGAAGAGUUCCUUCGCUUGGUGAGACGCAUCAGAAAAGCCCCAAGGGCAGCCGGAGUCUUACCUUGACUUCCGAAGCCCCAACUCCUCCGAUCUUGACCUCCUGGUCAGCCACCAGGAUGCGAACGCCUCGCAGCCAAGCAGGCCCCGCAUCGGGCUUCUUCUUGUUGAUGUCAAUUUCCAGAUACUCGGGCCGCUCGGGGCAGGUCUUGAGGAGGGUGUAGGAGAAUUCGGUGGGGAAGGCGUAGGCCGCGCCGUCGAAGGUGUGCAGCACCUGGUUCUGGCUGAGCAGGCACACGGUCUCGCGCUUGGGGAAGCAGCCCUGGUAGCCAUCCUCCACGGCGCACACCUCCCCGCUGCGGCACGUCUUGUUGAAGCAGUAGACGUCCCCGCCCUCCUCGCACAGGCACUGCACCGUGCAGUUGGCCGUGGCCCAGAAGAACUCCCCCAUGGUGUAGUAGUGACCGUCGAAGUCGCAGCCGCACUUGUGCAGCGGGACGCACUGGCUGGUGCUGAGGACAAAGCCUUCGUUGCACUCGCAGCCCUCGGUGCAGGGCGUGGCGCAGUUCUGGGAGGCCGUCAGGUCAGAGCAGGUGUCCGGGCAGCUGCUGGUGCACACGGAGUAGUGGCUGAAGCUCGGGCACUGCACCGUGGAUACUGACGUAGGGGAGAGGAGAGAGCGUGACAACAGAUGAAGGCCCCGGGGUGGUGACCGUGGGGAGCCACCACACACGGGAGCCCCACGGGGAAGGGCGCUCAUCGGGCGAGAGACUUUGCGAUUGCACCCGUAGAAAUCAGCUCGCUGCUUUGUGACAGCUAUGGGGCAACGUGAUCGAAUCGUGAACUUUUGACUCUCGGGCGAUCAUCUUGACUGAAUUACACUUCAAGUGGCGAUCCUAACUGGACUACACUGAUUACUCAACAUCGAUUUAUUACUGGAUGAUCUACAACCACUCAGAUGCUCUAAGAUCUUCGGCUGAUGGACACAGAAGUCAAUCUGACCUUAAACAGCAUAACCUACUCUUAAGAGGAAAUAAAUCCAACUUGCAGGAGAAAAGAAAAGAUGAAAAGGUGGCUGGGGCCAUUUGAAAACAUGAAAUUUCUUACAGGGAGGCACUCAAAAUACCUAAGUGAAGACUAUAAAAGACGAUGAGCGAAGACUAUGAAAAUGAGUACUCUAGGAUCUUAAAAAUAAGAAAGAACCUUGGUUGUGGGAAAGAAUUUGUGUGUCUGCACUGCCAGGAGACUGGGUUGGAGCUAGAGGUCUCCUCAAGGCCCUUCUUGCCUCAGAAGCCUCUGGUUCUCAUUUUAAGAACGUGGGAGUCUACAUAAAUGCUUGAGUCGGGUCGAAUCCAAGAGGCAGGGGCUCAAGGGACUGCUAAACUAGCUGUCUGAAUUAACUGGAAUUCAUAGCGCUAACAUGAGAGAGAGGGGGUGGGCAAUGUGGAAGAUAGGACCACUAGGGGAAAAAGUAGCCAUUACAGGCAAUUUGCUUAGGUAAUUUGGAUGUUCUUAGAUUAUACAAGGAUCAAAAAAAAAAAAAAAUCCAUAAUCAAUCUCAACUUGAGUAUGCUCCUGGCAUACUCAGAGGCUGGUCAGUCACACAACAAGCAAUAAGAAAACACGGUCUCUUCGUAGUUGGAUCAAUUCUCUGAGAAUUGAACCUGAUACACGAUUUUGUGAAUCCAACAUGUAGUGAGGGGGAAGAAAAAUCUCCCUUUGGUCUCGGAACUGAAAGAAACUUUGAAACCUUCUCAUCUGCGUGGGAAUCUAAAAUGCACGGACAUAAUGUUCUGUAUGCCCAUGUGGAAAAACCAAGGGCCAGGAGAGAAACAGAACUCCAAGAAGCGGCGUUGUUUUUACUUGUUUGCUUGCUUGCUUGUUUUAAAAGUUUAUCUAAUUACGAAAAGAGAGGUUUAAGUGGGAUAGAAGGAGAAAAACGAGACAACUAAGUCGUACAAAAUGCUUCAUGCGAAAAGGUAAUUCAGAAGAAGCUGAAUUUCCCCACGCUGUUAGGGCUUUCUCCUAACCACCUCGCGCUUCUGAAACAGGGCCUUCUUUCCUGAUGUUCUGUGCUCCCUGGCAGCAGCCCUUUUCCCACUGACACCAGUGGGUCAGCGAAAACACGGCAGAGCAAGAGACACAGAACCUAGAGGGACGGAAGGCGGAGAAGAGUCAAAGAACAGUUGCUAUUGGUUCCACUUGGGAGGUGAAUUUCCCCCAAAGCUGGUUAUGAUUACUCAGACCAGUGUCUGUGCUUGCUCAGUGGCCACAAAUACAGCCACCUUCCCUCUGAACACCCACCUCCCUUCUUAACUCAGGGAUAGCCAUCCCUGGGACAGGGCCUUCCUCCCGUCAAGCAUUUCCUGCCACUCACUCCCCUGUUUCUGGACCAUUUGUGCUCAAAUGGUUUUCUUGUUUUCUGGCUAUGGUAUUGGGUGGGCAGGAAAAGGAAAGAUCCUUUUUGCUGUUCAUUCUUCAUAACGUGUGGCUAUGUUAACCUCACCCUCACUCUUGGGCAAUUUGUCUUAACAAGGAGAGUUUUGAGGAGCCCGGAAACCCUCUCCCUGGCCCCCUGCGCGAGCACGCCCUUCCAUUUGGAUGGGAUGCCAGCUUACCACACCCAGUCUGGACCCGCCAGUCUCCGAUUGGAAUGCCGAGGGCCUGGCACACGAGCGCGUAGGCCUGGAUGGCUUGACAGAGGAGUGUCCCAUUGUCCCUCACGCUGCACAGGUCAUACACACAGCUGUGCACAAAGGCUGUGGGGUCCACGACGGUGCCACACUCCCACAGGGGGCCGUCCGUCUUGUUGAGGAAGCCGCAGUAGUCCGAACCAAAGAAGAGGGCUUCCGUGGCUGUGUCACACAGAGUGCAGUUGUCCACGCAGCCCGAGUCGCACUUCCAGUCGGCAUGGUAGACCCGCCAGCUCUCUCCGAGAUCCAGGACAGACAUGGCUGGCCUGCCGUCAGGGCGGAGGAAGUCGUCCAGCGGGUUUUUAUUGUAGUUCCCACAGAGCCCACACGUAGAGUUUAUGUAGGAGCCUGGGAUGGAAAUGGAGGCGUAGUGCUGGCCAUCAAACGUCACUAAGAGCCCAAAAUCCGUUUCCACGGCAGUUGACAUGCCACUCUGGUAGAUUUUCACCGCCCCCAAGUCUAAGGUGACCGGCAAGGAAGUCACUAGGUCAUUAACCUGCCAACAACAGUAACAAUAAAAGGCAGGUGAGCAGGUGCCAGGGCAAUGGGUCCCGCGGAGGUCGGGAAAGGGAAGCCAAAGCACUCUCCAGAGAGAAUGGUCCCCCCCGGGAUGGCCUAGGCUCCAGUAAGCUUGACUUCUGUUAAGGCAGAGGCCUGGGGGAAGCCACAAAAGCAGGGUGGCGUGGGCCAGCCAAGCACUGUGCAUUUGAGACAUGACAGGCAUUACCACUACUGCCCUAGACUCCUCUGGGGACCAGGUAGUUGUCAACCCUUUCUGGCUGGCUCUAGGGCUGGCUUCAAGUCUCUCGGUGACAGACUAGCGGUGCUGUUUUCCUUUUCACUCGUCUAAAUUCAUUCUUUAAGUCUCCACUGAAGUCACAUCUUUUCCAUGACCUCGUCACUGCCUAUAGCACUCCCUGAUCCCUCCUCCCAGCUGAAAUGUGUGCCAUGCUGCCCUGGUAUUAUUCUCUGAGUGCAUCACCCUGUCACGUCCUGAUACCGGGACUAUGUCAUGUAAUCAUUCAGCAACACGAACAAACGUGAACGCCUACUGUGUACCAAGCACUAUGUUAGGUGCUAAGGAAUAAAGAAUAAAGAAAAUAAUUGUCCCCACCCCUCAUGGAGGUCCCGGUCUACUGAGGAAGAGAGACACAAAUAGAUAUUUAUAAUACGCUGUUUUUGUUUUAAAUACACAUUAAUGGAUCAUACAAUGGGAGGAUAGCAAGUGACCACUAUAUCCAGCCUAGGGGGGGGUCACACAAGACUUUUUGUAGGCAGUAAGUCUGCCCUGGGUCUUUGAAGAUGAACAGAAGUAGACAAAGGAAGACUGGGCUCACGGAAUUCUAGGACAAGAGAGUAAAGGCGGGUGGUUAGGAACAGCUACGUGAAUACGGGGUUGCCCAUUGGGCGGGGUGGCCAGAAACGAAGCUGGAGACACCAGCAAGGUCCACGGUCCAUUUAGUCAACACAUGGCAAUUUAGGCCUCUCUGUGUGCCAUGCACUGUUCUAAGGGUUGGGGAUUCGCUUUGAGUGAAAUGGACACAAAUCUCUGCCCCACGGAACUUAUAUUUUAGUUGAGGAGACCGAAACCAAACAAAAUAAACAAGUAAAAUAUAUAGGUAUGCCAGGUUGAGCAAUUAUGCAGAAAAAUAGAGCAGGGAAUGGGGAUCACAAGUGCUGGGGAAGAGGGUUUUUAACUGGAAAUAGGAUGGUCAGGGAAGGGGAUAUUUGAGAUGAGGAAGCAAGCCAGGAGCUUAUCUGGGGUGACAGUAGAUCACGCAGAGGUGACAGCCAGGCCCAAAGGUGGCGUGUGCCUGGGUGCUCCCAGCAUGACUGGAGCAGAGACAGCAAGGAGAGGGCAGUGGCAGAUGAUGCCAGAGAGAUUAGGGCAGCCAGAACAGGUAGACCUUUGUCGGCUAUUGUAAAGCCCUUGGCCUUGACUCCGAGCAAGAUGGAGAGCCAAGAGUGUGUCUAGGGCAAAGGAGGGACGUGAUCUGACUUCCAUCUUAAAAGAAUUCCUCUGGCUUUCGUGUUGGGUGCACACCCUGGAGGGCCUUUUAAGCCAUGUUUUAAACAAAACAAAUUCCAUAAAAGCAAAAACAACUUGGAUUUCUAUGCUGCAGAGAAAGCCCCAAAAGGUUUUAAGUAAGGGAAUGACGUAGUCAGAUUUGCAUUUCAGAAAGCCCACUCUGGCCAGCAGGUCAAGAUUAGAAGCAGAGAAACCAGACAGGAAACUGACGCAAAAAUCCCGGGGCGAUGGAGCAUGAGGGCCUAAACUACAUACAGACGCGAGAGAGUGGGACAAGCUCAUGGAGUCUGCUCGCAGUUUAGCCGACAAGGGUGAGAAAAGCCAUGUUAUAAGGAAGGUCAGCUAGCAAGAGCCCUGGAUGACCAUCAUGUACUGUCCAUGCUGAGACGGAGAAUGAACUCUUCCCCAAGAAAAUUGAGGAAUCCGUGCCCUAUGCCUGGACGAUGGAAAAGAGCCACACAAAAUUAGCAGAGCUGCUGGGCCUGAAAGAAAUGGCAAUGCUCCUUUCCUUCUGAAAAAAAAAAAAAAAGUCUGACUGUGAGUGAAAAAGAUUUUUAAUCAAAAUGGAAAAUAGAAAUAAAGCAUAAAGCUUUCUUCCUCAACUACAGAUAUCAUACACAUCCAUCCCCACAAUGCAGGCAAGCAGGAGAAAGCUGGGGAACAUUUUUCUGGCUUGAAAUAGUAGCAUCUAUCUACAAGAAUAAGUAUUGUGCUCAACAGCACAAUAGAAAUUUAAAAGGGAAAAACGUCAAACUUCCGUACCCCCAACUCUGACCUUGAUUUCAUAUGCAGAACUGUCCCUAGAGAGACUAACCAAAUAACAGGCAAAUUGGCAUUUCGGCCACAGUAAAACCUCACUUUUCUAAUUAUGACCAUGAUAAGCUGCACAGACCUAGGCCAGGCAGAGCCAGAAAAAGUGGAAUUAGUUCCUCGGUCCUGCCUUUUGUUGGACAUGCUGUGUCAAUUAAAACUACAACACAUAUUUAAAAAAAAAAAAAAAGAAAGAAAGAAAGAAAGAAAUCCCCGCAUUGGCAUCAGUUCUGGUUUGUAAUCUCUGUAAUGACCUCCAUGCAUGGGGAUUAAGGAUCGCACGGGGUUGCGCAAUCAACCCCUCGUGGUCUUGGUUAUUAUUGCUUGAAUAAAUACACGGUUGCAGCAAGGUUUUCAUUAACAUUAUGAAAAUUGGGGCCUCCACAAAUUGAGUAAUUGCCAGUGGCUUCUUGCUCUCCCUCCUUUGCGGAUGUGCCUGCCUGAAAUCCAGGUGGGCAGUGACAGGAAUCAUUUGCAUACGCUCAACGGACCGGCAGAUAUCCACUUUCCCCUCUCUUAUUCCAGGCAGGAGUGGGAACCUGUUGGAGGGUGUUUGGGCAAAGCCUUCUCAGAACCUUCCCACCGGCGUCGUGAAAGAGCUCAGCAAGCCUGCUCCCAGGGGGGGCCCUCACCAGCGGUGCCUCUGGAAACACCAAUCAAUUUGGAGCUUUUUCCAACAAUGCAGCAGUAGA